CGAACGGUAACAGGUCUUCGGAUGCUGACGAGUGGCGAACGGGUGAGUAAUACRUCGGAACGUGCCUAGUAGUGGGGGAUAACUACUCGAAAGAGUGGCUAAUACCGCAUGAGAUCUACGGAUGAAAGCAGGGGACCUUCGGGCCUUGUGCUACUAGAGCGGCUGAUGGCAGAUUAGGUAGUUGGUGGGGUAAAGGCUUACCAAGCCUGCGAUCUGUAGCUGGUCUGAGAGGACGACCAGCCACACUGGGACUGAGACACGGCCCAGACUCCUACGGGAGGCAGCAGUGGGGAAUUUUGGACAAUGGGCGAAAGCCUGAUCCAGCAAUGCCGCGUGCAGGAUGAAGGCCCUCGGGUUGUAAACUGCUUUUGUACGGAACGAAAAGCUCUGGGCUAAUACCCCGGAGUCAUGACGGUACCGUAAGAAUAAGCACCGGCUAACUACGUGCCAGCAGCCGCGGUAAUACGUAGGGUGCAAGCGUUAAUCGGAAUUACUGGGCGUAAAGCGUGCGCAGGCGGUUUUGUAAGACAGUGGUGAARUCCCCGGGCUCAACCUGGGAACUGCCRUUGUGACUGCAAGGCUAGAGUGCGGCAGAGGGGGAUGGAAUUCCGCGUGUAG
RNAcentral lists this ribosomal RNA (618 nucleotides) under Comamonas testosteroni. RNAcentral's name for it is "bacterial SSU rRNA". The record is from RNAcentral. Lineage: Bacteria; Pseudomonadati; Pseudomonadota; Betaproteobacteria; Burkholderiales; Comamonadaceae.